GAAAUGCGAUAAGUAAUGUGAAUUGCAGAAUUCAGUGAAUCAUCGAAUCUUUGAACGCACCUUGCGCUCCUUGGUAUUCCUUGGAGCAUGCCUGUUUGAGUAUCAUGAAAUCUUCAAAGUAAAUCUUUUGUUAACUCAAUUGGUUUCUACUUUGGUAUUGGAGGUCUUUGCAGCUUCACACCUGCUCCUCUUUGUUCAUUAGCUGGAUCUCAGUGUUAUGCUUGGUUCCACUCGGCGUGAUAAGUUAUCUAUCGCCGAGGACACUGUAAAAGGUGGCCAAGGUAAAUGCAGAUGAACCGCUUCUAAUAGUCCAUUGACUUGGACAAUAUUUUUAUGAUCUGAUCUCAAAUCAGGUAGGACUACCCGCUGAACUUAAGC
Molecule: unclassified non-coding RNA, 378 nt
Filed under: plant metagenome
Description: partial contains 5.8S ribosomal RNA, internal transcribed spacer 2, and large subunit ribosomal RNA
Rfam family: 5.8S ribosomal RNA (bases 1-105)
Source: RNAcentral